UAGGGGAUCUUCCGCAAUGGACGCAAGUCUGACGGAGCAACGCCGCGUGAGUGAAGAAGGAUUUCGGUUAGUAAAACUCUGUUGUUAGAGAAGAACAGCGCAUAGAGUAACUGUUAUGCGUGUGACGGUAUCUAACCAGAAAGCCACGGCUAACUACGUGCCAGCAGCCGCGGUAAUACGUAGGUGGCAAGCGUUGUCCGGAUUUAUUGGGCGUAAAGCGAGCGCAGGCGGUCAAUUAAGUCUGAUGUGAAAGCCCCCGGCUCAACCGGGGAGGGUCAUUGGAAACUGGUUGACUUGAGUGCAGAAGGGGAGAGUGGAAUUCCAUGUGUAGCGGUGAAAUGCGUAGAUAUAUGGAGGAACACCGGUGGCGAAAGCGGCUCUCUGGUCUGUAACUGACGCUGAGGCUCGAAAGCGUGGGGAGCGAACAGG
Molecule: ribosomal RNA, 429 nt
Filed under: Bacteroidota bacterium
Lineage: Bacteria; Pseudomonadati; Bacteroidota
Description: Bacteroidetes bacterium partial 16S ribosomal RNA
Rfam family: Bacterial small subunit ribosomal RNA
Source: RNAcentral